GACGAACGCUGGCGGCGUGCUUAACACAUGCAAGUCGAACGGUAAGGCCCUUCGGGGUACACGAGUGGCGAACGGGUGAGUAACACGUGGGUGAUCUGCCCUGCACUUCGGGAUAAGCCUGGGAAACUGGGUCUAAUACCGGAUAGGACCACUGCCUGCAUGGGUGGUGGUGGAAAGCUUUUGCGGUGUGGGAUGGGCCCGCGGCCUAUCAGCUUGUUGGUGGGGUGAUGGCCUACCAAGGCGACGACGGGUAGCCGGCCUGAGAGGGUGACCGGCCACACUGGGACUGAGAUACGGCCCAGACACCUACGGGAGGCAGCAGUGGGGAAUAUUGCACAAUGGGCGCAAGCCUGAUGCAGCGACGCCGCGUGAGGGAUGACGGCCUUCGGGUUGAAAACCUCUAUCAGCACCGACGAAGCGCAAGUGACGGUAGGUGCAGAAGAAGGACCGGCCAACUACGUGCCAGCAGCCGCGGUAA
RNAcentral lists this ribosomal RNA (478 nucleotides) under uncultured bacterium. RNAcentral describes it as "partial 16S ribosomal RNA". It matches the Rfam family "Bacterial small subunit ribosomal RNA", at positions 28 to 523 of the family's 1533-position model. The record is from RNAcentral.